GGCUGUUCCAAGUGCGGUGUUUUGUUGGUUUUUUUACAGUUAAUUGAUCACAAUCAGCUAUAGAUUCUUUUGUUCCUUUCCUACUUCCACUGCUUCACUUAACUAGUCUUUA
Molecule: Y RNA, 112 nt
Filed under: Otolemur garnettii (small-eared galago)
Lineage: Eukaryota; Metazoa; Chordata; Mammalia; Primates; Galagidae
Rfam family: Y RNA
About the family: Y RNAs are components of the Ro ribonucleoprotein particle (Ro RNP), in association with Ro60 and La proteins. The Y RNAs and Ro60 and La proteins are well conserved, but the function of the Ro RNP is not known.
Source: Rfam by way of RNAcentral